UAGGGAAUCUUCCGCAAUGGACGCAAGACUGACGGAGCAACGCCGCGUGAGUGAAGAAGGAUUUCGGUUCGUAAAACUCUGUUGUUAGAGAAGAACAGCGCAUAGAGUAACUGUUAUGCGUGUGACGGUAUCUAACCAGAAAGCCACGGCUAACUACGUGCCAGCAGCCGCGGUAAUACGUAGGUGGCAAGCGUUGUCCGGAUUUAUUGGGCGUAAAGCGAGCGCAGGCGGUCAAUUAAGUCUGAUGUGAAAGCCCCCGGCUCAACCGGGGAGGGUCAUUGGAAACUGGUUGACUUGAGUGCAGAAGAGGAGAGUGGAAUUCCAUGUGUAGCGGUGAAAUGCGUAGAUAUAUGGAGGAACACCAGUGGCGAAGGCGACUCUCUGGUCUGUAACUGACGCUGAGGCUCGAAAGCGUGGGUAGCAAACAGG
Molecule: ribosomal RNA, 429 nt
Filed under: Bacteroidota bacterium
Lineage: Bacteria; Pseudomonadati; Bacteroidota
Description: Bacteroidetes bacterium partial 16S ribosomal RNA
Rfam family: Bacterial small subunit ribosomal RNA
Source: RNAcentral